Molecule: transfer RNA, 75 nt
Filed under: Taibaiella sp. KBW10
Lineage: Bacteria; Pseudomonadati; Bacteroidota; Chitinophagia; Chitinophagales; Chitinophagaceae
Also listed under: 1 other name
Rfam family: tRNA
About the family: Transfer RNA (tRNA) molecules are approximately 80 nucleotides in length.
Source: Rfam by way of RNAcentral
GGAAGCAUAGCUCAGCUGGUUCAGAGCAUCUCGUUUACACCGAGAGGGUCCGCGGUUCGAAUCCGUGUGCUUCCA